Molecule: unclassified non-coding RNA, 337 nt
Filed under: soil metagenome
Description: partial contains 5.8S ribosomal RNA, internal transcribed spacer 2, and large subunit ribosomal RNA
Rfam family: 5.8S ribosomal RNA (bases 1-120)
Source: RNAcentral
GAUGAAGAACGCAGCGAAAUGCGAUAAGUAGUGUGAAUUGCAGAAUUCAGUGAAUCAUCGAAUCUUUGAACGCACAUUGCGCCCCUUGGUAUUCCAUGGGGCAUGCCUGUUCGAGCGUCAUUUGUACCUUCAAGCCUUGCUUGGUGUUGGGUGUUUGUCUCGCCUCUGCGCGCAGACUCGCCUCAAAACAAUUGGCAGCCGGCGUAUUGAUUUCGGAGCGCAGUACAUCUCGCGCUUUGCACUCAGAACGACGACGUCUAAAAGUACAUUUUUACACUCUUGACCUCGGAUCAGGUAGGGAUACCCGCUGAACUUAAGCAUAUCAAUAAGCGGAGGA